RNAcentral lists this unclassified non-coding RNA (349 nucleotides) under fungal sp. Its description in RNAcentral is "partial internal transcribed spacer region". The stretch from base 1 to 46 matches the Rfam family "Eukaryotic small subunit ribosomal RNA", at positions 1786 to 1831 of the family's 1831-position model. Lineage: Eukaryota; Fungi. The record is from RNAcentral.
AAGUCGUAACAAGGUUUCCGUAGGUGAACCUGCGGAAGGAUCAUUAACACGUAUCCAACGUUAAACAACCCUGUGAACUUUCAACGCUCUUGUAGCCCCAGAGGAACAGCAAUCCCGGUAAAUCAAUGGCGGAAAAGUUUUGAUUCGGGACCUCUGUCCAAAAGGUAUCAAGUGCAGAAGGAUCCACUGAGUAAGGAUAACGCAUCACGGUUGCCAGAGGUCGAUCACCGGCAGGCAGACAUGUCACAGGGCGCGCGCGCCCCCUCAUUCACCCCUUGCCCUCUCAAGCCUCGCGGAAACGCCGGGCAUAAAAACCGAACAACUGUUAACAAUGGAUAUCUUGGUUCUC